AUACAAAGAACAUCAACAAUAUUCAGAUUCUGUGAUGCCUGACAACUGUUGAAAAGCUAUUUCCUUUGACAUUAAGCCAAACUGACAGCUAACUUUUCAAACAGAAACUGUAGUAGCACGUAUGUGAGUUUGUUCCAAUGAACCACUUCAAGUUCUUUAAAUGUUUAUGCUAAAAACUUACCUAUCUACUCUCUAUGCCAGGUGUACCUAUCUAUGGAACUGCAUGCUUCAUUCCAGUUUGAAUGUUUUCCUGACACAGCACACUUGAAAAGAUGCUCUGACUUUGGUUUAAAUCCCAGCACAAUCUUCAGAUGUUAAGCUCAAUACUGACCUGCAAGUCAGCCUGACACUCAGAUUUGCUCCAGGAAGAAAGGCCCCCAAGCAGGGCGGCACGUGAGCGGCUGGUGCAGCCUGACCAUCUGCAGCGGAACUGUGCUGCUGUGUCUCCACUUGCGAGUGUGACAGCUGCCUGCCUUUGUGGGGAACCCACAGACACUACGGCAUUGCUCUGGAACUUUUUGAAGAAAAUCUGUCACAAGUCAACUGUGACAGAUCUGAAGGACUAGUUCUCAAAAUGCUGGUGACUUUCAGCUUCUACCAUGGCCUAAGAAUCUGCAAGGUGAAGUCUUGAUGGCCUUAUAGGAGGAACCCAAAGAGACAAAGCGACCUUCCUCUGACUUUCCUCCAUGCUCUUCCUACACAGUAGAUGCAUUGGCAUACUUCUCCAGUAACGCAAUGGGAGCUGCAGCCCAAACGUGUAUGAAAAGGGAAACGUGGCUCUCGUAACCUCACUGGGAGAAGCCUUCCUGUCUAUCUUCAGCACUCAGUUGUGUUGCACAUCUACUCAGCCAGAAUUACAUGUAUUUGCUGAGAUGUGCGUUGUGAACAC
This 889-nucleotide long non-coding RNA is filed under the name Phasianus colchicus (ring-necked pheasant). Its description in RNAcentral is "lncRNA (ENSPCLG00000004346.1)". Lineage: Eukaryota; Metazoa; Chordata; Aves; Galliformes; Phasianidae. The record is from RNAcentral.